This 339-nucleotide ribosomal RNA is filed under the name uncultured bacterium. Its description in RNAcentral is "bacterial SSU rRNA". It matches the Rfam family "Bacterial small subunit ribosomal RNA", at positions 466 to 793 of the family's 1533-position model. The record is from RNAcentral.
CGUUUGACGUUUAGCUGCAGAAGAAGCACCGGCUAACUCCGUGCCAGCAGCCGCGGUAAUACGGAGGGUGCGAGCGUUAAUCGGAAUUACUGGGCGUAAAGACGCAUGCAGGUGGUUUGUUAAGUUCAGAUGUGAAAGACCCGGGGCGUCAACCUCCGGAAUUGCAUUUGUAAACUAGGCAGACUAGAGUACUGUAGAGGGGGUAGGAAGUUUCAGGUGUAGCGGUGAAAUAGCGUAGAGAUCUGAAGGAAUACCGGUGGCGAAGGCGGCCCCCUCGGACAGAUACUGACACUCAGAUGCGAAAGCGUGGGGAGCAAACAGGAUUAGAUACCCUGGUAG